Molecule: ribosomal RNA, 498 nt
Filed under: uncultured bacterium
Lineage: Bacteria
Description: partial 16S ribosomal RNA
Rfam family: Bacterial small subunit ribosomal RNA
Source: RNAcentral
GACGAACGCUGGCGGCGUGCCUAAUACAUGCAAGUCGAACGAGAGCGCCCGGUGCUUGCACUGGUCACUCUAGUGGCGCACGGGUGAGUAACACGUGGGUAACCUGCCCAUCAGAGGGGGAUAACAUCCGGAAACGGAUGCUAACACCGCAUAGGCCUUCGAGCCGCAUGGCUUGAAGAGGAAAAGAGGCGCAAGCUUCUGCUGAUGGAUGUACCCGCGGUGCAUUAGCUGGUUGGUGGGGUAACGGCUCACCAAGGCCGCGAUGCAUAGCCGACCGGUGGGGGUGAUCGGCGACAUUGGAAGUGAGACGCGGCCAAUACGCCUGCGGGAGGGAGCAGUAGGGAAUCUGCCGCAAUGGACGCAAGUCUGACGGAGCAACGCCACGUGAGUGGAGGAGGUGUUCGGAGCGUAAAACUCUGUUGUUAGAGGAGAACAAGUGCUAGAGUAACUGUUAGCGCCUUGACGGUAACUAACCAGAAAGCCACGGCUAACUACGUG